GAAAUUAUAGUUUAUAAAAAAUAUUUAAUUUGCAUUUAAAAGAAGCCCAAGUUAAUUUUA
Molecule: transfer RNA, 60 nt
Filed under: Proasellus ebrensis
Lineage: Eukaryota; Metazoa; Arthropoda; Malacostraca; Isopoda; Asellidae
Description: transfert RNA-A(GCA)
Source: RNAcentral